This 335-nucleotide ribosomal RNA is filed under the name uncultured Streptococcus sp. Its description in RNAcentral is "bacterial SSU rRNA". It matches the Rfam family "Bacterial small subunit ribosomal RNA", at positions 1045 to 1382 of the family's 1533-position model. Lineage: Bacteria; Bacillati; Bacillota; Bacilli; Lactobacillales; Streptococcaceae. The record is from RNAcentral.
AUGGUUGUCGUCAGCUCGUGUCGUGAGAUGUUGGGUUAAGUCCCGCAACGAGCGCAACCCCUAUUGUUAGUUGCCAUCAUUCAGUUGGGCACUCGUAGCGAGACUGCCGGUAAUAAACCGGAGGAAGUGGGAUGACGUCAAAUCAUCAUGCCCCUUAUGACCUGGGCUACACACGUGCUACAAUGGUUGGUACAACGAGUUGCGAGUCGGUGACGGCGAGCUAAUCUCUUAAAGCCAAUCUCAGUUCGGAUUGUAGGCUGCAACUCGCCUACAUGAAGUCGGAAUCGCUAGUAAUCGCGAAUCAGCAUGUCGCGGUGAAUACGUUCCCGGGUCUU